RNAcentral lists this long non-coding RNA (726 nucleotides) under Olea europaea (common olive). Its description in RNAcentral is "long non-coding RNA (OEUR_LNC013927)". The record is from RNAcentral. Lineage: Eukaryota; Viridiplantae; Streptophyta; Magnoliopsida; Lamiales; Oleaceae.
UCAAUGUCUGCAGACACUACACUUAAGCACACCAGAGAUAUAACGUCUGUCACAUUUGCUGGGACAGCUAUUUGUUACUGCUUCUCUAGACAGCACUUUAAAGGUUAACACUUCAUUGCCAUAGAUCUAAGUUACAUCUCAGUCCAGCACUUUAUAGUUCCAACAAUUCCUUCUCCGUUUCUCUUUCUUAUAGGUUUGGGCUACAACUGAGAGUGGAAACUUUGCUGUGAUCUUUGAGCUUUAUAAAGAAUGUGUAAGCUAAAAUUAUAUUAGUUAUAUGACUUUCCAUAGAAAUUGUUAUUUGUGCGUUCUGUUGUGUUCUGUCUCUUUUAAUCUUUUAACUUCUUAUGUGUAAUCAUAUGCUAAAACUCCUUAAGUUACAUCUUUCUGGGAGUUGUUGCUCUUUGUGGAUGCCAAAGCUCAGCCUAUUCCGCUCUGCUCAUCAUAUAGCGACAUUGCUGUUCACCUAUAUGACUUGCCCUUGUUAGUAUCAUCAAACUACAGCCAUUUCUGUUGGUACUAUUCACACCAUUUGUGGAGGUUUAUUGACUGUUUUAGGUUCUCUGAGAGGGGAAGAAUAUUUACAAUGCGGGAAGUCCAAGUGUUUCAAAUUGGUAUGGUGGUCUCUUUUUUACUGGGGAUGCAACAGGCAGCCCUCAGUCUGGGAAUUGCUUGGAGUUCCCACUGCAUCUUGAGAACUGUUCCCAGGGACGGAUGUGGGGGGGG